GGUGGCACCAGUAGGUGUCACUCUCCAUAGGCUGAGCCUCUAUAAAAGGGGAAGCUAGUAGGGUGGUAGCCAGGAGUUCACUUCCUGUGUCUGGGACCAGGGGUGUGGUCGAUCCAUACUGUUGGCUGGCUGGGGUAGGUUGGGAGGAAAAUGGUUUUUAAGUUUAUCUUUCUCAAUAUGUUUUUUGCUGAUUUGGUGUUUUUAUACAGGGCCGCAUUAACAGUAUUCCAGUGGUAGCGUUACCUGGGCGUGUGGUUGUUCGACGCCGCAGGGUUGUCACUGCUUCCUGCUGUCCUUUAGAGUUUGAUUUUCUUUUCUGUUAGUCUGCCUGGUUUGGAUUGUUUUUCUUUUUGAGUACUUGUGAGGGUGGACUAACAACUUUGCAUUUAUUUUGUUUUCUUUUCACUUCCUGUAUGCUUAUAUUCCUGCUACAUUUUAUAUAUUGGCACCUGUAUUUUAUUUAUAUACAAUAAAGCUUGGUAAAAUUAA
Long non-coding RNA from Fundulus heteroclitus (mummichog), 489 nucleotides. RefSeq lists it as uncharacterized. The transcript has 2 exons. The record is from RefSeq and is a predicted model, not a curated record. NCBI's taxonomy places the organism in Eukaryota, Metazoa, Chordata, Actinopteri, Cyprinodontiformes, Fundulidae.